This is an unclassified non-coding RNA of Otolemur garnettii (small-eared galago), 103 nucleotides long. It matches the Rfam family "Y RNA". From Rfam's summary of the family: Y RNAs are components of the Ro ribonucleoprotein particle (Ro RNP), in association with Ro60 and La proteins. The Y RNAs and Ro60 and La proteins are well conserved, but the function of the Ro RNP is not known. The record is from Ensembl. Lineage: Eukaryota; Metazoa; Chordata; Mammalia; Primates; Galagidae.
GCCUGGUUCAAGUGCUGUGGUGUUUCACAACUAAUUGAUCGCAACUAGUUACAGAUUCCUUUGUUCCUUCUCCACUCCCGCUGUUUCACUUGACUAGCCUAAA